AUGAUUAGGCUGGGGUUGAGAUGCAACAGAGGUGCAGACACUCCCAGAACGUUGUUGUAUACUCCGCCACGUCUCCGAUCUUCGUCAGCUCAAGAAGUGGGCACAUGUGCACAUGAUACUCCCUUAUGGACAUCCGUCGAACAGGUAGUAGGCGGGGAGUGGAGUGGUGAUUUUUGUUGUCUGGAUUUCGUUGGUUCUGAUUACCAAAUUGUCACAACCUUGUCAUGGGAUGGAUCGAGAUCACACAAAUUAGCUCAGUGCCUUUGUAGUUUUGGAGUAAUUGGGAGGAAUUUGGGUGAGGAUCCAGAGAAGGAGAAGGGGAACAAGAGAACAGGAGGUGAGAAAGAUUCAGAGUUCAUUCAUGUACAACCCGAGUCCGUUUGGGGUUAG
Molecule: ribosomal RNA, 390 nt
Filed under: Triticum aestivum (bread wheat)
Lineage: Eukaryota; Viridiplantae; Streptophyta; Magnoliopsida; Poales; Poaceae
Description: partial small subunit ribosomal RNA
Source: RNAcentral